This is a long non-coding RNA of Capsicum annuum, 637 nucleotides long. RefSeq lists it as uncharacterized. Lineage: Eukaryota; Viridiplantae; Streptophyta; Magnoliopsida; Solanales; Solanaceae. The record is from RefSeq and is a predicted model, not a curated record. The transcript has 4 exons.
CAAGCACAUGUUGAUCAUCCUCUUAUUCAUGCAGGUGCCGAGGCUCCCAAUAAGGAGACUCCAUCUUUUAUUGACCUCAAGAAGAAUAUACCCUUUCCCAUUACUUAUUACACACUUACAGAUAAGGAACUAGAAGAAAAUGGAUACUGUUAUGAGCAACCAGAAUUUCUUUCAACGCUUCCUGCUCCAUCAGGAACACCUCCACAUGAAGUUUUGGCUCUUGACUGUGAGAUGUGUAUUACAAGGGAAGGCUUUGAGCUUACCAGAGUGACAAUAGUGGAUGUUACAGGACAGGUUAUACUGGAUAAAUUGGUCAAACCAUCAAAUGACAUUGUUGACUACAAUACUAGGUACUUCUUAUGUCUGAUAACUUCUAAAUUUGCAUUUGGACACAGUUGCUAAAAUAUAUACCCCUCCGUUCCAUUUAUAUGACACUAUUUCCUUAUUUGUCCUUUUUAAAAAAGAAUGACUCAAUUCGAAAUUAUGAAGUGAUUUAGUUUUAAACUUCUCAUUUUACCCUUAAUGAGAAGCUUUUAUAGCCAAAGAAAUGCUAUGACACAGUUAGAAACCACAAAAAUGUUAUUUUAUGAUUAAGACCACAAGUUUCAAAUUCUUUUUUUUUGCCUUAAGCUCGUCC